Molecule: long non-coding RNA, 287 nt
Filed under: Mytilus galloprovincialis (Mediterranean mussel)
Lineage: Eukaryota; Metazoa; Mollusca; Bivalvia; Mytilida; Mytilidae
Source: RNAcentral
CUUGCCAUAUGGUUCUGAUUUAUAUAAGCACAAACAAUUUGUUGUGGGAAAACCACAUCCGGAACACUCGAGACCAAAGGUUCGGAAAGCAAAAACAUAUAUAAUAGUUAUAUAAUAGUUGUGAACAUACAAUAUAUAUCUUUAUUCUCAUAAAGCCAAUGCAUUACAUCAGUACAGAGAUAACAACAAUAUAAAAGGGUCUAAAAUAACGUCAAAAACAGUCUUGGUCAACUUUUACCUUUGGGAAUUGCACAUUUCUUAUUUAGUUAUAUUACAUAGUUUUGGAU